RNAcentral lists this ribosomal RNA (438 nucleotides) under uncultured bacterium. RNAcentral describes it as "partial 16S ribosomal RNA". It matches the Rfam family "Bacterial small subunit ribosomal RNA", at positions 338 to 795 of the family's 1533-position model. The record is from RNAcentral.
CCUAUGAGUGGCAGCAGUGGGGGAUAUUGCACAAUGGGGGGAACCCUGAUGCAGCGACGCCGCGUGGGAAGACGGUCCUCUGGAUUGUAAACCACUGUCCCCAGGGACGAAAAUGACGGUACCUGGGGAGGACGCUCCGGCUAACUACGUGCCAGCAGCCGCGGUCAUACGUAGGGAGCGAGCGUUGUCCGGAAUUACUGGGUGUAAAGGGAGCGUAGGCGGGGAUGCAAGUUGGGUGUCAAAACUACCGGCUCAACUGGUAGUCGCAGUCAAAACGGCAGCUCUUGAGUGAAGUAGAGGCAGGCGGAAUUCCUAGUGUAGCGGUGAAAUGCGUAGAUAUUAGGAGGAACACCAGUGGCGAAGGCGGCCUGCUGGGCUUUUACUGACGCUGAGGCUCGAAAGUGUGGGGAGCAAACAGGAUUAGAUACCCCUGUAGUC